CUUGCUCCGAUUGAAUAAUCUGGUGAGCCUUCUUGACUGAGUAGGCAACUACAAAGGAAAUUAAGCAAACCAUAUUAUUUAGAGGAUGAAGAAGUCGUAACAAAGUU
This 107-nucleotide ribosomal RNA is filed under the name uncultured eukaryote. RNAcentral's name for it is "partial 18S ribosomal RNA". It matches the Rfam family "Eukaryotic small subunit ribosomal RNA", at positions 1679 to 1801 of the family's 1831-position model. The record is from RNAcentral.